Molecule: unclassified non-coding RNA, 322 nt
Filed under: soil metagenome
Description: partial contains 5.8S ribosomal RNA, internal transcribed spacer 2, and large subunit ribosomal RNA
Rfam family: 5.8S ribosomal RNA (bases 1-120)
Source: RNAcentral
GAUGAAGAACGUAGCGAAAUGCGAUAAGUAGUGUGAAUUGCAGAAUUCAGUGAAUCAUCGAAUCUUUGAACGCACAUUGCGCCCUUUGGCAUUCCGAAGGGCACACCUGUCCGAGCGCCGUCGCACAACUGAGGCGCGGCCUUGCGUUGGCGGGCGACUUGUGAGUAGCGAGUCGCCGCCCAAACGAGACGGCGCCGCGCCGCGGCCGACGAAGCACGAAAGCGGAAGUCGACGCGGAGGCGGUUGCCUGUAGGAAGACACAGCUUGGCCUCGGAUCAGGUGGGGAUACCCGCUGAACUUAAGCAUAUCAAUAAGCGGAGGA